RNAcentral lists this ribosomal RNA (223 nucleotides) under Escherichia coli. RNAcentral's name for it is "partial 23S ribosomal RNA". It matches the Rfam family "Bacterial large subunit ribosomal RNA", at positions 1104 to 1325 of the family's 2925-position model. The record is from RNAcentral. Lineage: Bacteria; Pseudomonadati; Pseudomonadota; Gammaproteobacteria; Enterobacterales; Enterobacteriaceae.
GCUUAGAAGCAGCCAUCAUUUAAAGAAAGCGUAAUAGCUCACUGGUCGAGUCGGCCUGCGCGGAAGAUGUAACGGGGCUAAACCAUGCACCGAAGCUGCGGCAGCGACGCUGAUGCGUUGUUGGGUAGGGGAGCGUUCUGUAAGCCUGUGAAGGUGUACUGUGAGGUAUGCUGGAGGUAUCAGAAGUGCGAAUGCUGACAUAAGUAACGAUAAAGCGGGUGAA